UUGUCCUGGGAACAUUUGCCACAUCGGUGCAGUUUCAAUGUAAACCUUCGAGGUUUCCGGUUGAUGCAUCCACGGAGGAGACAAAACAGACAUGAUGCUUACGGUUGCAGUUGUUUUUCAGCUCUUGAAUUAAUGUUGUACGUGUGAAUUUGAUGUCUAUAUAGUUACGUUCAUGUUUUUAUCCAUAACGUUUGGUUUGAUCCACGCGCUCAUUUUGCGGUCAGCAGGGCUGGACGUUAAAGGUAACCUUGGCUCGCGUGACUAGUUUUUUUUGUACCUGGGGCCAGUUAACAAUAAAGA
Molecule: long non-coding RNA, 300 nt
Organism: Etheostoma spectabile (orangethroat darter)
Lineage: Eukaryota; Metazoa; Chordata; Actinopteri; Perciformes; Percidae
Exons: 3
Source: RefSeq, a predicted model, not a curated record